GUCUACGGCCAUACCACCCUGAACGCGCCCUAUCUCAUCUGAUCUCGGAAGCUAAGCAGGGUCGGGCUUGGUUAGUAUUUGGAUGGGAGACUGCCUGGGAAUACCGGGUGCUGUAGGCU
Molecule: ribosomal RNA, 119 nt
Organism: Rattus norvegicus (Norway rat)
Lineage: Eukaryota; Metazoa; Chordata; Mammalia; Rodentia; Muridae
Source: Ensembl